UACGAAGGGGGCUAGCGUUGUUCAGAAUUACUGGGCGUAAAGGGCGCGUAGGCGGUCUUUCAAGUCAGAUGUGAAAGCCCUGGGCUUAACCUAGGAUGUGCAUUUGAGACUGAAAAACUUGAGAUCGAAAGAGGAGAGUGGAAUUGCGAGUGUAGAGGUGAAAUUCGUAGAUAUUCGCAAGAACACCGGUGGCGAAGGCGACUCUCUGGUUCGAUACUGACGCUAAGGCGCGAAAGCGUGGGGAGCAAACAGG
RNAcentral lists this ribosomal RNA (253 nucleotides) under uncultured bacterium. Its description in RNAcentral is "partial 16S ribosomal RNA". It matches the Rfam family "Bacterial small subunit ribosomal RNA", at positions 524 to 776 of the family's 1533-position model. The record is from RNAcentral.